UUUCCGGUUGAUCCCGCCGGACCUGACUGCUAUCGGAUUGAUACUAAGCCAUGCGAGUCUUUGUAGUAAUACAAGGCAGACGGCUCAGUAACGCGUAGUCAAUCUACCCUAUGGACGGGGAUAACCUCGGGAAACUGAGAAUAAUACCCGAUAGAACAUUAUGCCUGGAAUGGUUUAUGUUCCAAAUGAUUUAUCGCCGUAGGAUGGGACUGCGGCCUAUCAGUUUGUUGGUGAGGUAAUGGCCCACCAAGACUAUUACAGGUACGGGCUCUGAGAGGAGUGGCCCGGAGAUGGGUACUGAGACACGGACCCAGGCCCUAUGGGGCGCAGCAGGCGAGAAAACUUUGCAAUGUGCGAAAGCACGACAAGGUUAAUCCGAGUGGUUUCUGCUAAAGGAACCUUUUGUCGGUCCUAGAAACACCGAUGAAUAAGGGGUGGGCAAGUUCUGGUGUCAGCCGCCGCGGUAAAACCAGCACCUCAAGUGGUCAGGAUGAUUAUUGGGCCUAAAGCAUCCGUAGCCGGCUCUGUUAGUUUUCGGUUAAAUCUGUACGCUCAACGUACAGGCUGCCGGGAAUACUGCAGAGCUAGGGAGUGGGAGAGGUAGACGGUACUCGGUAGGAAGGGGUAAAAUCCUUUAAUCUAUUGAUGACCACCUGUGGCGAAGGCGGUCUACCAGAACACGUCCGACGGUGAGGGAUGAAAGCUGGGGGAGCAAACCGGAUUAGAUACCCGGGUAGUCCCAGCUGUAAACUAUGCAAACUCAGUGAUGCAUUGGCUUGUGGCCAAUGCAGUGCUGCAGGGAAGCCGUUAAGUUUGCCGCCUGGGAAGUGCGUACGCAAGUAUGAAACUUAAAGGAAUUGGCGGGGGAGCACCACAAGGGGUGAAGCCUGCGGUUCAAUUGGAUUCAACGCCGGG
Molecule: ribosomal RNA, 915 nt
Filed under: uncultured archaeon
Lineage: Archaea
Description: bacterial SSU rRNA
Rfam family: Archaeal small subunit ribosomal RNA
Source: RNAcentral